GAUGAACGCUGGCGGCGUGCCUAACACAUGCAAGUCGAACGAAGCACUGAAAACGGAGAUUCGUCGAAGUUUUCUUUGACUUAGUGGCGGACGGGUGAGUAAUGCGUGAGCAACCUGCCUUUCAGAGGGGGACAACAGUUGGAAACGACUGCUAAUACCGCAUAACGUAUUUUGGGGGCAUCCCUGGGAUACCAAAGGAGCAAUCCGCUGAAAGAUGGGCUCACGUCUGAUUAGCUAGUUGGUGAGGUAACGGCUCACCAAGGCUGCGAUCAGUAGCCGGACUGAGAGGUUGAAC
RNAcentral lists this ribosomal RNA (295 nucleotides) under uncultured bacterium. Its description in RNAcentral is "partial 16S ribosomal RNA". It matches the Rfam family "Bacterial small subunit ribosomal RNA", at positions 28 to 305 of the family's 1533-position model. The record is from RNAcentral.